RNAcentral lists this ribosomal RNA (253 nucleotides) under uncultured bacterium. RNAcentral's name for it is "partial 16S ribosomal RNA". It matches the Rfam family "Bacterial small subunit ribosomal RNA", at positions 524 to 776 of the family's 1533-position model. The record is from RNAcentral.
UACGAGUGGUGCAAGCGUUAUUCGGAAUCACUGGGCGUAAAGGGUGUGUAGGCGACAUUUCAAGUCCAUUGUUAAAUAUCCCAGCCUAACUGGGAAGGUGCGAUGGAUACUGAUUUGAUAGAGGGUGGAAGAGAGAAGUGGAAUUCUCGGAGUAGCGGUAAAAUGCGUAGAUAUCGAGAGGAACACCGAUGGCGAAGGCAGCUUCUUGGUCCAUUCCUGACGCUGAGACACGAAAGCGUGGGGAGCAAACAGG